RNAcentral lists this ribosomal RNA (484 nucleotides) under uncultured bacterium. RNAcentral's name for it is "bacterial SSU rRNA". It matches the Rfam family "Bacterial small subunit ribosomal RNA", at positions 28 to 513 of the family's 1533-position model. The record is from RNAcentral.
GACGAACGCUGGCGGCGCGCCUAACACAUGCAAGUCGAGCGGGAAGCUUUUUAAGGAUUCUUCGGAUGAAUUAAAAAGUGGAGAGCGGCGGACGGGUGAGUAACGCGUGAGAAACCUGCCCUAUACAGGGGGAUAGCCAUUGGAAACGAUGAUUAAUACCCCAUAUGACCACAGUAUCGCAUGAUACAGCGGUGAAAACUCCGGUGGUAUAGGAUGGUCUCGCGUCUGAUUAGCUAGUUGGUGGGGUAACGGCCUACCAAGGCGACGAUCAGUAGCCGGCCUGAGAGGGUGACCGGCCACACUGGAACUGAGACACGGUCCAGACUCCUACGGGAGGCAGCAGUGGGGAAUUUUCCGCAAUGGGCGAAAGCCUGACGGAGCAAGACCGCGUGGGGAGGAAGGUUUUGGAUCGUAAACCCCUUUUGUCAAGGAAGAAGCUCUGACGGUACUUGACGAAUAAGCCUCGGCUAACUCCGUGCCAGCG